UACGUAGGGUCCGAGCGUUGUCCGGAAUUACUGGGCGUAAAGAGCUCGUAGGCGGUUUGUCGCGUCUGCUGUGAAAUCCCGAGGCUCAACCUCGGGCCUGCAGUGGGUACGGGCAGACUGGAGUGCGGUAGGGGAGAAUGGAAUUCCUGGUGUAGCGGUGGAAUGCGCAGAUAUCAGGAGGAACACCGAUGGCGAAGGCAGUUCUCUGGGCCGUAACUGACGCUGAGGAGCGAAAGCGUGGGGAGCGAACAGG
Molecule: ribosomal RNA, 253 nt
Filed under: uncultured bacterium
Lineage: Bacteria
Description: partial 16S ribosomal RNA
Rfam family: Bacterial small subunit ribosomal RNA
Source: RNAcentral